This 255-nucleotide ribosomal RNA is filed under the name uncultured bacterium. Its description in RNAcentral is "partial 16S ribosomal RNA". It matches the Rfam family "Bacterial small subunit ribosomal RNA", at positions 524 to 776 of the family's 1533-position model. The record is from RNAcentral.
UACGAAGGGGGGCUAGCGUUGUUCGGAUUUACUGGGCGUAAAGCGCACGUGGGCGGUUUUGUUAAGUCAGGGGUGAAAUCCCGGAGCUCAACUCCGGAACUGCCUUUGAUACUGGCAAGCUAGAGUCCGGAAGAGGUAAGUGGAACUCCUAGUGUAGAGGUGGAAUUCGUAGAUAUUAGGAAGAACACCAGUGGCGAAGGCGGCUUACUGGUCCGGAACUGACGCUGAGGUGCGAAAGCGUGGGGAGCAAACAGG